UGGGGAAUAUUGGGCAAUGGGCGAAAGCCUGACCCAGCAACGCCGCGUGAAGGAUGAAGUAUUUCGGUAUGUAAACUUCGAAAGAAUAGGAAGAAUAAAUGACGGUACUAUUUAUAAGCUCCGGCUAACUACGUGCCAGCAGCCGCGGUAAUACGUAGGGAGCAAGCGUUGUUCGGAUUUACUGGGCGUAAAGGGCGCGUAGGCGGCGCGGUAAGUCACUUGUGAAAUCUCUGAGCUUAACUCAGAACGGCCAAGUGAUACUGCAGUGCUAGAGUGCAGAAGGGGCAAUCGGAAUUCUUGGUGUAGCGGUGAAAUGCGUAGAUAUCAAGAGGAACACCUGAGGUGAAGACGGGUUGCUGGGCUGACACUGACGCUGAGGCGCGAAAGCAUGGGGAUCAAACAGGAUUAGAUACCCCCGUAGUCCCUGAGCGGGCUGGCAAGGCGCAU
RNAcentral lists this ribosomal RNA (447 nucleotides) under uncultured bacterium. Its description in RNAcentral is "bacterial SSU rRNA". It matches the Rfam family "Bacterial small subunit ribosomal RNA", at positions 355 to 825 of the family's 1533-position model. The record is from RNAcentral.